UACCACUUGUUGCCUCGGCGGAUCAGCCCGCUCCCGGUAAAACGGGACGGCCCGCCAGAGGACCCCUAAACUCUGUUUCUAUAUGUAACUUCUGAGUAAAACCAUAAAUAAAUCAAAACUUUCAACAACGGAUCUCUUGGUUCUGGCAUCGAUGAAGAACGCAGCAAAAUGCGAUAAGUAAUGUGAAUUGCAGAAUUCAGUGAAUCAUCGAAUCUUUGAACGCACAUUGCGCCCGCCAGUAUUCUGGCGGGCAUGCCUGUUCGAGCGUCAUUUCAACCCUCAAGCACAGCUUGGUGUUGGGACUCGCGUUAAUUCGCGUUCCUCAAAUUGAUUGGCGGUCACGUCGAGCUUCCAUAGCGUAGUAGUAAAACCCUCGUUACUGGUAAUCGUCGCGGCCACGCCGUUAAACCCCAACUUCUGAAUGUUGACCUCGGAUCAGGUAGGAAUACCCGCUGAACUUAAGCAUAUCAAUAAGGCGGAGGAA
This 484-nucleotide ribosomal RNA is filed under the name Fusarium oxysporum. RNAcentral's name for it is "eukaryotic LSU rRNA". The stretch from base 117 to 270 matches the Rfam family "5.8S ribosomal RNA". The record is from RNAcentral. Lineage: Eukaryota; Fungi; Ascomycota; Sordariomycetes; Hypocreales; Nectriaceae.